This 240-nucleotide unclassified non-coding RNA is filed under the name soil metagenome. RNAcentral's name for it is "partial contains 5.8S ribosomal RNA, internal transcribed spacer 2, and large subunit ribosomal RNA". The record is from RNAcentral.
AAGACUAUAGACCUGCGGAGUACCUGCGGAGGGAUCAUUAAAGAGUUUAACUACUCAAACCAUUGUGAACCUUACCUCAACCGUUGCUUCGGCGGGCGGGCCCGGGCCAAGCCCGGCGCCCCCCCGGCCCCUCGCGGGCGCCCGCCGGAGGUUAACCGAACCCUUGAAUUGUAUGGCCUCUCUGAGUCUUCUGUACUGAAUAAGUCAAAACUUUUAACAAUGGAUCUCUAGAUCGGAAGA